GUUGCCAGCACGUAAAGUGGGAACUCUGAAGAUACUGCCCGGUUAACGGGGAGGAAGGUGGGGAUGACGUCAAGUCCUCAUGGCCCUUAUGCCCAGGGCUACACACGUGCUACAAUGGCAUAUACAAAGGGUCGCGAUACCGCGAGGUGGAGCCAAUCCCAUAAAGUAUGCCACAGUUCGGAUUGGAGUCUGCAACUCGACUCCAUGAAGUUGGAAUCGCUAGUAAUCGCAGAUCAGCAUGCUGCGGUGAAUACGUUCCCGGGCCUU
This 267-nucleotide ribosomal RNA is filed under the name uncultured Desulfobotulus sp. RNAcentral describes it as "partial 16S ribosomal RNA". It matches the Rfam family "Bacterial small subunit ribosomal RNA", at positions 1114 to 1382 of the family's 1533-position model. The record is from RNAcentral. Lineage: Bacteria; Pseudomonadati; Thermodesulfobacteriota; Desulfobacteria; Desulfobacterales; Desulfobacteraceae.